UACGAAGGGGGCAAGCGUUGAUCGGAAUUACUGGGCGUAAAGCGCGCGUAGGCGGCUUCAUAAGUCCGUUGUGAAAGUCCUGGGCUCAACCUGGGGACGGCAGUGGAUACUGGGAAGCUGGAGUACGGAAGAGGAUCGCGGAAUUCCCGGUGUAGCGGUGAAAUUCGUAGAGAUUGGGAGGAACACCGGUGGCGAAGGCGGCCAUCUGGACCAUCACUGACGCUGAGGCACGAAAGCGUGGGGAGAAAACAGG
This 253-nucleotide ribosomal RNA is filed under the name uncultured bacterium. Its description in RNAcentral is "partial 16S ribosomal RNA". It matches the Rfam family "Bacterial small subunit ribosomal RNA", at positions 524 to 776 of the family's 1533-position model. The record is from RNAcentral.